AUUGAACGCUGGCGGCAUGCCUUACACAUGCAAGUCGAACGGCAGCACGGGUGCUUGCACCUGGUGGCGAGUGGCGAACGGGUGAGUAAUACAUCGGAACAUGUCCUGUAGUGGGGGAUAGCCCGGCGAAAGCCGGAUUAAUACCGCAUACGAUCUACGGAUGAAAGCGGGGGACCUUCGGGCCUCGCGCUAUAGGGUUGGCCGAUGGCUGAUUAGCUAGUUGGUGGGGUAAAGGCCUACCAAGGCGACGAUCAGUAGCUGGUCUGAGAGGACGACCAGCCACACUGGGACUGAGACACGGCCCAGACUCCUACGGGAGGCAGCAGGGGGGAAUUUUGGACAAUGGGCGAAAGCCUGAUCCAGCAAUGCCGCGUGUGUGAAGAAGGCCUUCGGGUUGUAAAGCACUUUUGUCCGGAAAGAAAUCCUUGGCCCUAAUACGGUCGGGGGAUGACGGUACCGGAAGAAUAAGCACCGGCUAACUACGU
Molecule: ribosomal RNA, 485 nt
Filed under: uncultured bacterium
Lineage: Bacteria
Description: partial 16S ribosomal RNA
Rfam family: Bacterial small subunit ribosomal RNA
Source: RNAcentral